RNAcentral lists this long non-coding RNA (2656 nucleotides) under Olea europaea subsp. europaea. The record is from RNAcentral. Lineage: Eukaryota; Viridiplantae; Streptophyta; Magnoliopsida; Lamiales; Oleaceae.
AUUUUUAAGAGGCUCAAUUGGAAAAAAUUCAUCAACUCAGUGCACCAGACAACAAAUUAGACGGAAGUAUCACAUAUGAACUUAAUCCAAACUGCUAUAAGAGGUGAAAUACUAGCAGAAUGUAGCAUAGCAUAUCUUAAUUCACCCUUUGUUGAACAAGAACAUGGAUAAUAUCUGUAGAAUUAUAGCGUAAAGUUAGUGAGGAAUUGUAGGGAUUUGUUACAGUUAUUUUUGGUAUCUUGUUCCUAGUUUAGUGCCAUUCCUUGAUUUGUGGAGAUCCACUCCUCAAUUAGGGCUGAUUGAGUCCAGAUUUUAUAAUGGCGGAUUCCUCCAUCAUACCUUGUUGUACUUGUCAAAAAAAUGUGAGAAUUCAAUCUUUUUUCUCAGAAAUUCACAUGGUAUCAGAGCCUACCCUCUGAACCCUAAUUUCCCACAUCACAAAAUUUGUUAUGGAUGUUGAGAGACAAAACUCGAUGUCUGAAGUGACCUCUAAUCCAGAAACGACAUCAGUGAUGAACAAUCAUGGAGGAGCCGAAAAUCCGUCUCUGCUCGUUACAGGCCACAAACUCAACCGCCAUAAUUUUCUCCAGUGGUCUCAGUUAGUGAUGAUGUAUGUCUGUGGAAAAGGGAAGGAUGAAUAUCUCACUGGUGAAGCCACCAUCCCUGAGAAGACCGAUCCAAAAUUCAGAAUAUGGAAAGCCGAGAAUCACAUGUUGAUAUCUUGGUUGAUUAAUUCAAUGGAAAACGACAUAGGAGAGAAUUUUCUCCCCUUUGGGACUGCCAAAGAAAUUUGGGAUGCUGUAAAGGAGACAUACUCAAGUUCUGAAAACACAUCAGAAAUAUUUGAGAUUGAAUCCACCCUACACGACCUUCGACAGGGAGAUCUCUCCGUUACCCAAUAUUUCAACACCCUUUCUCGUCAUUGGCAGCAGCUAGACAUGUUUGAAGUUCAUGCCUGGAAGUGCCCUGAAGAUACCAUGCUGUAUCGGAAAAUUGUGGAAAAGAAGCGGACAUUGAAAUUUCUUCUUGGCCUCAACAAGAAUUUGGAUGAGGUCAGAGGGAGAGUAAUGAGCACCAAACCUCUUCCAAGCAUUAAAGAGGCCUUCUCAGAAGUUCGCCGUGAGGAAAGUAGGAAAAAGAUUAUGAUGGGAUCUGAAAAUUCUGCUCCAUCUCUCGAAGGAUCUGCUCUUGCAGCGCGAGGCCCUCCAUCGAACACCAAUGGUGAAAAUCGUCAGAGAAAGGGAAGACUUUGGUGUGACUACUGUUGAAAAUUAGGACAUCACAGAAAAAAUUGUUGGAAACUUCAUGCAAACCAGCUGAUUGGAAGCCAUCUAAACCAGCCUAUGAUAGAGAAGGUCGUGCCCAUAAUGUUACUGCAAUAGAAGAAAUGACAACCUUAGCUGAAACCAAUCCUUUCACCAAAGAACAGCUUGAGAUGCUCCAGAAACUACUAAGUCCAAACUCCCCAUCUCAGUCAAGUAACUCAACCUCUGGAACAGGCAUGUUAGCACAAAGAGGUAAUGUUUCAAAUGCCUUUACAAUAAAUAAAAAAGGGACUCAAUCCAUGGAUUAUCGACUCCGGAGCCUCAGACCACAUGACAGGAGAUGGAACCUUAUUUCAUGAAUACAGCCCUUGUAAUGAGAAAUACACAGUUCGGAUUGCUGAUGGGUCUUUAUCUAAAGUUGCUGGAAUAGGCUCAAUCAGGGUUAUAAAUGACCCGAUCUUAAACUCUCUUCUACAUGUUCCUAAUUUGGAUUGUAAUUUACUAUCAAUCAGCAAACUAACUCGUGAUCUCCAGUGUGAAGCUAAGUUUUUCUCAAACUAGUGUGAAUUUCAGGAACUAGAUUCGGGGAGGAUGAUUGGUAGUGCUGAGAUGUGUUCUGGACUCUUAUCUUCUCAAUGGUAAUACUUCUCUAAGAAGACAAGCUCAAAAUGUAAGUUGUGUUUCGUUUAAAAGUCAGUCAAUUUUAAAUUCCUAUGUCAAUAAGGAUAAUGCGGUCAUGUUACGGCAUUUUCGUCUUGGUCAUCCAAAUUUCAUGUACCUUAAAAAAUUGUUUCCAUCAUUGUUCAUCAAUAAAAGUCCAAAUCAUUUUAGUUGUGAAAUCUGCCAAUUUGCAAAACACACUCGAAGUAAUUACCCCAAUCUAUCAUAUACGCCAUCUCAACCAUUUACAAUCAUUCAUAGCGAUGUCUGGGGACCCUCAAGAGUAAAAAAUAUAAUUGGAGCAUGAUGGUUUGUAUCAUUUGUUGAUGAUCACACUAGAUUGACCUGGGUAUUCCUAAUGAAAGAAAAAUCUGAAGUUGGCCAAAUUUUUCAAAACUUCAAUUCCAUGAUCCAAACUCAAUUCCAGACCAAAAUCAAAGUUCUCAAAACUGAUAAUGCCAAAGAGUACUACAAUUCUACUUUGGGUGGUUACCUCUUAAGUCAGGGAAUAAUACACCUAAAUUCCCACAUUGACACCCCUCAACAAAAUGGGGUUGCAGAAAGGAAAAACCGGCAUUUGUUAGAGGUAGCUAGGUGUCUCAUGUUUUCCACUCAUGUUUCUAAGCAUUUUUGGGGAGAGACUGUACUUACAGCCACAUACCACAUCAAUAGAAUGCCCUCCAGGAUUCUUAAAUUCCAAACUCCUUGUCAAUUCCUUAUCCAGAUCUUUC